Long non-coding RNA from Chinchilla lanigera (long-tailed chinchilla), 1339 nucleotides. RefSeq lists it as uncharacterized. NCBI's taxonomy places the organism in Eukaryota, Metazoa, Chordata, Mammalia, Rodentia, Chinchillidae. The record is from RefSeq and is a predicted model, not a curated record. The transcript has 3 exons.
GCCAGUGGUACCUCUAGCAAUAAAAUGGGGCUGGGAUGAAAGAAGUAGAACUGACUCCUUUAAACAAAAAUUGCCCUGCAUUUUCUGGGAUUUUCCUUGAAACUGAGCAUAGCAGAUGUUAUGGUUUAUAUCUACAUGGCCCCCAAAGCCUCAUGCGGUCAUAAGCAGGGCUUAGGGGGAAGUGAUUGGAUCAUGGGGAUGCUAUAUUCAUCAGUAGAUUGAUUAAUCACCCAAUGAAUUUCUACCUAAAAGUACUGUGAGGAAGUGAGAAUCAGUUGGAAGAAGCGGCCCACUGAGGGCCUGACCCGGAAGGGUACACCUCCCUCCCUGGUUCUUCCCCGCUUGCUCUGCUUCCUGGUGGCCACGCCCCACCGCCACACUAUUUCUUCUUGGGAGCCAGCCAACCACGUACUGAAACCUGAGCUAAAAUAAACCUCUCCUCCUUUAAGUUUCAGGUAUCAAGAAUUUUGUCCCAGCAACGAAGAAAGUGACCCAGACGGCAGAUGUGAAUCAAGAAGAGGUACCCACUUUCCUUCUGCUUUUCCGUCUGACACGGAGCAGCAUGUGCUCCUCACCAGAAACCAAGGAGGUACUGGCACCAUGCAACUGAACCACCACAACUGUGAGCCAAAAUGAACCCUGGCCUUUACAAAUUGUCUGUCCUCAGUCAUUAUGUAAUAGCAACAGAAGAAGGAUGUAGAGGGACAGUUUACAACUUACGAUCUCAUUUGAGUUAAAAAGUGACCUGCAGAAGUGCCAUGAAACAACAAAAAGAUGGAAACAGAACCUACAAGGGAAGCUGGAAGAACCUGAGAAUGUGGCUUCCUCCUUACUUUGGUUUGAAUGUGGUCGCUCCAAAACUCAGGUGUUGCCAAUGUGAAAGGAUUUGAAUGUCUGGCCUUUGCGAGGUGACAGCCAUGAAAGCUCUGCUUUGGGGAAUGGGAUCAAAUGACUCUAUAAAGGGUCUGACAAAGGCAGUUUGUGCUACCCAACUACAUUCCGCAAUGUGAGGGUACAGCAUUCAAAGCAUCCUCUUGGGAGCAGAGACCAGACACUCAGCAGACAAUGAACCUCAAGCCCUUUCAUGGAAUAGUGAGAAAUAAGCUGCUAGAAUAGUGAGAAAUAAGAUUCUGUUCUUCAUAAAUUACUCAGUCUCUGGUAUUUCACUACAGUAGCACAAAACAGCCAAAGACUUUUGGCUCAGUCUAACAUUUAUUAAAGACCCACAGUUUAAGAAAAGACCCUGUGUUGGGUGCUAUACAGGACAUAAGAGGCUAUAUAUAAGUGUGGGUCUUACCCUUAAGGACUCCAGGGUUCUCACAGAGAAGGAUGUGCAUGU